CGGCGGAGUCCCCAGCGAGGGAUGUCGAUGCCGGCGGCGUCGAGGUGGACGGCGGCGGGGUAGUCGUAGGCGGUGACCAUGGUGAUGGGUUCGCCGUGCUUGUGUUUAUUGUGGAGAUGAUAUUCUGAUGCCGUCAUGGUUUGACAUUCAUGAUAUUCCUAUAACUGUUGAAUCGCCAAAAGAUGAAAAGGGAGUUCUUGAAGCUGUUCAAAAUGUGCAUGGUUUGAUUGACAAGGAGGUAGCUGCUGGCAUAAGUCUGAGCUGAUGAUGGUUUUGGAUGAUGAGGAAGAAGGUGAAGAAGGAGAAGAAGAGGGCUUGAGUAAAUGUAUAGGGAAGGAGUUGAAGAAGCUUCUGCAGUGUCAUAGCCAUUGUAAAUAAUUUAUGUAAAAGUUUAUAAACAAUUUAUGUAUCUCUCUACUAUUUUGG
Molecule: long non-coding RNA, 426 nt
Organism: Asparagus officinalis (garden asparagus)
Lineage: Eukaryota; Viridiplantae; Streptophyta; Magnoliopsida; Asparagales; Asparagaceae
Exons: 4
Source: RefSeq, a predicted model, not a curated record